Molecule: unclassified non-coding RNA, 1523 nt
Filed under: uncultured Orbiliales
Lineage: Eukaryota; Fungi; Ascomycota; Orbiliomycetes; Orbiliales
Description: sequence contains 18S rRNA gene, ITS1, 5.8S rRNA gene, ITS2, 28S rRNA gene
Rfam family: Eukaryotic large subunit ribosomal RNA (bases 581-1523)
Source: RNAcentral
GGAAGGAUCAUUACUCAAGAAAGGGAAACCGGACUGUCAGCUUUUCAGAUCGCCUCCCCUCCUUGGGAGGCGGCUGGACUGCUUCAAACCCCUGUGAACCAAAGAAAACCUUUUCGCUUCGGCAGCUGGGCCCUCACAAGCCCGUCAGCCUGCCGCCGGCACCAAACCUUUCAAACCUGUCGUAGAAAACUUUGUCUGAUGACCAAAAAAAAAAACCUCGAAUGAAAAUCAAAACUUUCAACAACGGAUCUCUUGGUUCUCGCAUCGAUGAAGAACGCAGCGAAACGCGAUAGUUAAUGUGAAUUGCAGAAUUCAGUGAAUCAUCGAGUCUUUGAACGCACAUUGCGCCCAUUGGUAUUCCUUUGGGCAUGUCUGUUUGAGCGUCAUUACAGCUGUCCACGAACUCAAUAACUUAAACUGGUGGUUUUUGAACCUGAACGGCCAACGCCGUGUCCGGUUUUAAAGUUGUCAGCUCUGCUGGCCGCUCUGCCCAACCAGGACAUAGUAAGCACUACUUGUCCGAGGGUUAAGCUUGAGCGGUACGGCCUGAACGCAACAAAACCUACCCAUUCUCAAAUUCAUACCUCAGAUCAGACAAGGAUACCCGCUGAACUUAAGCAUAUCAAUAAGCGGAGGAAAAGAAACCAACAGGGAUUGCCUCAGUAACGGCGAGUGAAGCGGCAACAGCUCAAAUUUGGAAUCUGGAGCCUUCGGCUUCCGAGUUGUAAUUUGAAGAGGAUGUUUCGGAGCGGCCUUGGCCCAAGUUCCCUGGAACAGGACGUCAUGGAGGGUGAGAACCCCGUACCCGGCCGCAGGCUUCGCUCCAUGUGAAACUCCCUCGACGAGUCGAGUUGUUUGGGAAUGCAGCUCUAAAUGGGUGGUAAAUUUCAUCUAAAGCUAAAUAUUGGCCGGAGACCGAUAGCGCACAAGUAGAGUGAUCGAAAGAUGAAAAGCACUUUGAAAAGAGAGUUAAAAAGCACGUGAAAUUGUUGAAAGGGAAGCGCUUGCAAUCAGACUCGCUUGCGGUUGAUCAGCCUUCCUUCUGGUUGGUGCACUCUGCCGUUGGCGGGCCAGCAUCAGUUGGGGCGGUGGGACAAAGGCGUCAGGAAUGUGGCUCGCUUCGGCGAGUGUUAUAGCCUGGCGUGUCAUGCCACCAGCCCCGACUGAGGUCCGCGGUUCGUCCUAGGAUGCUGGCUUAAUGGUUGUAAGCGACCCGUCUUGAAACACGGACCAAGGAGUCUAACAUCUAUGCGAGUCUUUGGGUGUCAAACCCAUGGGCGGAAUGAAAGUGAACGGAGGUGGGAGCCCUCACGGGUGCACCAUCGACCGAUCCUGAUGUUCUCGGAUGGAUUUGAGUAGGAGCAUAGCUGUUGGGACCCGAAAGAUGGUGAACUAUGCCUGAAUAGGGUGAAGCCAGAGGAAACUCUGGUGGAGGCUCGCAGCGGUUCUGACGUGCAAAUCGAUCGUCAAAUUUGGGUAUAGGGGCGAAAGACUAAUCGAACCAUCUAGUAGCUGGUUCCUGC